RNAcentral lists this ribosomal RNA (465 nucleotides) under uncultured bacterium. RNAcentral's name for it is "partial 16S ribosomal RNA". It matches the Rfam family "Bacterial small subunit ribosomal RNA", at positions 28 to 507 of the family's 1533-position model. The record is from RNAcentral.
GACGAACGCUGGCGGCGUGCUUAACACAUGCAAGUCGUACGGUAAGGCCCUUUCGGGGGUCCACGAGUGGCGAACGGGUGAGUAACACGUGAGUAACCUGCCCACAACUUUGGGAUAACGCUAGGAAACUGGUGCUAAUACUGGAUAUGUGCUCCUGCUGCAUGGUGGGGGUUGGAAAGCUCCGGCGGUUGUGGAUGGACUCGCGGCCUAUCAGCUUGUUGGUGGGGUAGUGGCCUACCAAGGCGGCGACGGGUAGCCGGCCUGAGAGGGUGACCGGCCACAUUGGGACUGAGAUACGGCCCAGACUCCUACGGGAGGCAGCAGUGGGGAAUAUUGCACAAUGGGCGCAAGCCUGAUGCAGCAACGCCGCGUGCGGGAUGACGGCCUUCGGGUUGUAAACCGCGUUCAGCAGGGACGAAGCUUUUUGUGACGGUACCUGCAGAAGAAGCACCGGCUAACUACGUG